Molecule: ribosomal RNA, 217 nt
Filed under: Escherichia coli
Lineage: Bacteria; Pseudomonadati; Pseudomonadota; Gammaproteobacteria; Enterobacterales; Enterobacteriaceae
Description: partial 16S ribosomal RNA
Rfam family: Bacterial small subunit ribosomal RNA
Source: RNAcentral
AAAUUGAAGAGUUUGAUCAUGGCUCAGAUUGAACGCUGGCGGCAGGCCUAACACAUGCAAGUCGAACGGUAACAGGAAACAGCUUGCUGUUUCGCUGACGAGUGGCGGACGGGUGAGUAAUGUCUGGGAAACUGCCUGAUGGAGGGGGAUAACUACUGGAAACGGUAGCUAAUACCGCAUAAUGUCGCAAGACCAAAGAGGGGGACCUUCGGGCCUC